This 465-nucleotide ribosomal RNA is filed under the name uncultured bacterium. RNAcentral describes it as "partial 16S ribosomal RNA". It matches the Rfam family "Bacterial small subunit ribosomal RNA", at positions 28 to 507 of the family's 1533-position model. The record is from RNAcentral.
GACGAACGCUGGCGGCGUGCUUAACACAUGCAAGUCGAACGGAAAGGCCCUGCUUGCAGGGUACUCGAGUGGCGAACGGGUGAGUAACACGUGGGUGAUCUGCCCUGCACUUCGGGAUAAGCCUGGGAAACUGGGUCUAAUACCGGAUAGGAGCCAUUUUUAGUGUGAUGGUUGGAAAGUUUUUUCGGUGUAGGAUGAGCUCGCGGCCUAUCAGCUUGUUGGUGGGGUAAUGGCCUACCAAGGCGGCGACGGGUAGCCGGCCUGAGAGGGUGGACGGCCACAUUGGGACUGAGAUACGGCCCAGACUCCUACGGGAGGCAGCAGUGGGGAAUAUUGCACAAUGGGCGCAAGCCUGAUGCAGCGACGCCGCGUGGGGGAUGACGGCCUUCGGGUUGUAAACUCCUUUCGCUAGGGACGAAGCUUUUUGUGACGGUACUUAGAUAAGAAGCACCGGCUAACUACGUG